Rhinolophus ferrumequinum (greater horseshoe bat) is the source of this 107-nucleotide small nuclear RNA. The record is from Ensembl. Lineage: Eukaryota; Metazoa; Chordata; Mammalia; Chiroptera; Rhinolophidae.
GUGCUCCUUUCAGCAGCACAUACACUAAAAUUGGAACAAUACAGAGAAGAUUAGCAUGGUCCCUGCACAAGGGUGAAAUGCAAAUUUUUGAAGCAUUCCAUAUUUUU